CUAGGACCAGCCUUUGAUGGAUUAGGACACGUAAAGUCUGAGCAGAGUGGAUUAGUCAGUAAGGGAGAUUGAGAAGGAAGAACAGCUAGGAGGAAAGCCAGGCGAGUGUAGUGUUCUAGAGGCUGAACCGGGAUGCUUUCAAAUGCGUGUUACUGAAAUCCAUCUUCAAUUGAUUUCAGCUAAAAAAAGACUAAUUUCUUGGCUCUUAUUACCUAAACUCAUGCCUACUCAGACGUGCCUGGAUCCGGUGCUCAAACACGUCCUUGGGAACCUGCCUCUCUCUCCAUCUCUUAGUUCUGCCUUCUUCUGAGUGAGCUUCUUGGCUAAGUGGGCCAUUCCACAUGGUGCCCUGCUCAUGUCACCAGCAGAAGCUUUGGUUUACGUCCUACCCAAGUUUGUAUAGAUCAGAGAAGAGGAGUGAUCACUCUUGCCCACAAGCACCUUCUUGAAGAGCGCCUCCCCAGUAGCAGAGGCCACAGCGAAUCCCUGCCUUUCAUUAGGUGGUGUAAUGAACCCAUCUGCCCAGCGGUGCCUCGGAGCAGCAUCCCCUUACCACGCACAUCUGUUCCUGCGAAUCUGCAGCAAGCAACACCGACCUCUAAGGGAUCGCGGGCGCUGGGGGACUUGUUUUUAUGUCAGCACACAUUUCUCCCCUUCUCCCUGGCUAGCUAUCUCCCUUUGUGUGGGAUAUCAGGGAGAUACAAUAUUCCUGAGCAUUUGGGGACAAUUUUGAAGGGCAGUCCCAUUGACAGGCCUCCUGGCGUGGAUGAAAGAUGACAGCAGGUAUGAAUUUUAUGGAUCAGAUCAAGUGUCUCAUUUACAACACAUUGUCCUUAGAAUGUCACUGCUGCUCACAAAUGUGACUAAUACAGGAAACUGUGAAGAUCGGUUACUGGCAGGAGGAGGCCUGGUUUCUGACUGCAGGCCCCACGCUUCAUUCACAAAGUUGAAAGAGCCACUCUUUAAAUUCAAAGGGAAGGAGCUGCCAUGGAGAACUCAAAUGGCCAAUCUCAGACCCCGCUUGGAGUUGGCAGAAAAUAGCAGGAUCAGACUCCUCUCCUGGUCCCCAACUGAUGACAACUAUUACUGUUGUACGGCUCCUAGGAAUUGACAUACGAAGAUAGUCAUCAGUGGUGUCAAAACAAUGAGGAUCAAAAUAAUCACUGCAUACUGGGGCC
RNAcentral lists this long non-coding RNA (1178 nucleotides) under Equus caballus (horse). RNAcentral describes it as "lncRNA (ENSECAG00000039863.3)". The record is from RNAcentral. Lineage: Eukaryota; Metazoa; Chordata; Mammalia; Perissodactyla; Equidae.